RNAcentral lists this ribosomal RNA (460 nucleotides) under uncultured bacterium. RNAcentral's name for it is "partial 16S ribosomal RNA". It matches the Rfam family "Bacterial small subunit ribosomal RNA", at positions 338 to 795 of the family's 1533-position model. The record is from RNAcentral.
CCUACGGGUGGCAGCAGUGAGGAAUAUUGGUCAAUGGGCGCAAGCCUGAACCAGCCAAGUCGCGUGAGGGAUGACGGUCCUAUGGAUUGUAAACCUCUUUUGUCGGGGAGCAAGGCCCGCCACGUGUGGCGGGAAGCAUAGUACCCGAAGAAAAAGCAUCGGCUAACUCCGUGCCAGCAGCCGCGGUAAUACGGAGGAUGCGUGCGUUAUCGGGAUUUAUUGGGUGUAAAGGGUGCGUAGGCGGAAGGUUAAGUCAGCGGUCAAAUGUCGGGGCACAACACCGGACUGCCGUUGAAACUGGUGUUCUUGAGUGAGCUAGAAGUAAGCGGAAUGCGUGGUGUAGCGGUGAAAUGCAUAGAUAUCACGCAGAACCCCGAUUGCGAAGGCAGCAUGCCGGCGCUCAACUGACGCUGAGGCACGAAAGCGUGGGGAUCGAACAGGAUUAGAUACCCGAGUAGUC